This 484-nucleotide ribosomal RNA is filed under the name uncultured Anaerolineaceae bacterium. Its description in RNAcentral is "bacterial SSU rRNA". It matches the Rfam family "Bacterial small subunit ribosomal RNA", at positions 903 to 1382 of the family's 1533-position model. The record is from RNAcentral. Lineage: Bacteria; Bacillati; Chloroflexota; Anaerolineae; Anaerolineales; Anaerolineaceae.
GCCCGCUCAGAAACUUUAAAGGAAUUGACGGGGACCCGCACAAGCAGCGGAGCGUGUGGUUUAAUUUCGUUGCUACACGAAGAACCUUACCUGGGUUUGACAUAUAGGUGUAGGGAACUGAAAAGGGACCGACCCUUCGGGGAGCCUAUACAGGUGUUGCAUGGCUGUCGUCAGCUCGUGUCGUGAGAUGUUCGGUUAAGUCCGCUAACGAGCGCAACCCUCGCUGUGUGUUAUAUGUGUCACACGAGACUGCCGGUCUUAAGCCGGAGGAAGGUGGGGAUGAUGUCAAGUCAGCAUGGCCUUUAUAUCCUGGGCUACACACACGCUACAAUGGCCAACACAAUAGGUUGCUAAGCCGCGAGGUGGCGCCAAUCCAUAAAGUUGGUCUCAGUUCAGAUUGUAGGCUGCAACCCGCCUGCAUGAAGAUGGAGUUGCUAGUAACCGCAGGUCAGCUAUACUGCGGUGAAUACGUUCCCGGGGGCUU